GAAAGUUUUUUCGGUCGGGGAUGGGCUCGCGGCCUAUCAGCUUGUUGGUGGGGUAACGGCCUACCAAGGCGAUUACGGGUAGCCGGCCUGAGAGGGCGACCGGCCACACUGGGACUGAGACACGGCCCAGACUCCUGCGGGAGGCAGCAGUGGGGAAUAUUGCGCAAUGGGCGAAAGCCUGACGCAGCGACGCCGCGUGGGGGAUGACGGCCUUCGGGUUGUAAACCUCUUUUACCACUCACGCAGGCCCCACGUUUUCGUGGGGUUGACGGUAGGUGGGGAAUAAGGACCGGCUAACUACGUGCCAGCAGCCGCGGUAAUACGUAGGGUCCGAGCGUUGUCCGGAAUUAUUGGGCGUAAAGAGCUCGUAGGCGGCGUGUCGCGUCUGCUGUGAAAGACCGGGGCUUAACCCCGGUUCUGCAGUGGAUACGGGCAUGCCUAGAGGUAGGUAGGGGAGACUGGAAUUCCUGGUGUAGCGGUGAAAUGCGCAGAUAUCAGGAGGAACACCGGUGGCGAAGGCGGGUCUCUGGGCCUUACCUGACGCUGAGGAGCGAAAGCAUGGGGAGCGAACAGGAUUAGAUACCCUGGUAGUCCAUGCCGUAAACGUUGGGCGCUAGGUGUGGGGACUUUCCACGGUUUCCGCGCCGUAGCUAACGCAUUAAGCGCCCCGCCUGGGGAGUACGGCCGCAAGGCUAAAACUCAAAGGAAUUGACGGGGGCCCGCACAAGCGGCGGAGCAUGUUGCUUAAUUCGACGCAACGCGAAGAACCUUACCAAGGUUUGACAUCACCCGUGGACCUGUAGAGAUACAGGGUCAUUUGGUUGGCGGGUGACAGGUGGUGCAUGGCUGUCGUCAGCUCGUGUCGUGAGAUGUUGGGUUAAGUCCCGCAACGAGCGCAACCCUUGUUCCAUGUUGCCAGCACGUAAUGGUGGGGACUCAUGGGAGACUGCCGGGGUCAACUCGGAGGAAGGUGGGGACGACGUCAAGUCAUCAUGCCCCUUAUGUCUUGGGCUGCAAACAUGCUACAAUGGCCGGUACAAUGGGCGUGCGAUACCGUGAGGUGGAGCGAAUCCCUAAAAGCCGGUCUCAGUUCGGAUUGGGGUCUGCAACUCGACCCCAUGAAGGUGGAGUCGCUAGUAAUCGCGGAUCAGCAACGCCGCGGUGAAUACGUUCCCGGGCCUUGUACACACCGCCCGUCACGUCAUGAAAGUCGGCAACACCCGAAACUUGUGGCCUAACCCUUCGGGGAGGGAG
Molecule: ribosomal RNA, 1254 nt
Filed under: Nocardiopsis alba
Lineage: Bacteria; Bacillati; Actinomycetota; Actinomycetes; Streptosporangiales; Nocardiopsidaceae
Description: bacterial SSU rRNA
Rfam family: Bacterial small subunit ribosomal RNA
Source: RNAcentral